CCUACGGGAGGCAGCAGUGAGGAAUAUUGGUCAAUGGACGCAAGUCUGAACCAGCCAUGCCGCGUGCAGGAGGACGGCUCUAUGAGUUGUAAACUGCUUUUGUACGAGAGUAAACGCAGAUACGUGUAUCUGUCUGAGAGUAUCGUACGAAUAAGGAUCGGCUAACUCCGUGCCAGCAGCCGCGGUAAUACGGAGGAUUCAAGCGUUAUCCGGAUUUAUUGGGUUUAAAGGGUGCGUAGGCGGUCGGAUAAGUUAGAGGUGAAAUCCCGAGGCUCAACUUCGGACUUGCCUCUGAUACUGGUCGGCUAGAGAGGAGGUGAGGUAGGCGGAAUGUAUGGUGUAGCGGUGAAAUGCUUAGAGAUCAUACAGAACACCGAUUGCGAAGGCAGCAUACCAAGCCAAUACUGACGUUGAGGCACGAAAGCGUGGGGAGCGAACAGGAUUAGAUACCCCAGUAGUC
RNAcentral lists this ribosomal RNA (460 nucleotides) under uncultured bacterium. RNAcentral describes it as "partial 16S ribosomal RNA". It matches the Rfam family "Bacterial small subunit ribosomal RNA", at positions 338 to 795 of the family's 1533-position model. The record is from RNAcentral.